UAGUUUCAUAUAGAACAAUUAAUGUGACAACCUCUUAGUUAUUUGGUUUAUGGCUUAGUAGGACAAAGUAUAAAAUUUCAUGAAUGUGAUUAUGAGAGGAGGUAAUUCUGCUUCCCUUCCCAAUUAUUUAUUGACACCAUCUCCAUGCCUUAUAACUGUACUUGUUAGCCAGUUAAGAAGUAAUCAUAGGGUUGGAUUUGUGCAGAACAGAACUAUUUAGGAAUUCUUUUGGCUAAGGUCAAGGAGAGGGAGGGAGAAAGCAAAGGUAAUUUUUUACUUUCAGUAUUACAAUUGUAUUACAUCAGAAAAAUCCCACCAGAGCAUAUGACAGAGACGUUUGGGUGCUAGAGGGAAUAGCAGGUUGACUGCUGUGUCAUUUAGAGCAGUAACACAGAUACGAGGCUCAAUAAUGCAGGACAAAGAGAAUUUGAAUACAUAUUUGUUGUGCUAAUAUUAAAUUUCUUAUGUUACAUUAAUCUUUCUUUAGGGCUGAGGUAUAUCUUUUUCCAUGGUGAAAUCGUCCCAAAAUGAUAUUAACAUGAUUAAUAGCUUCUCCAGACCUGGCUAACUCCCUGGGCUUGCACCAAGGUAGGUGUGGAGGUGGGGCUGAGGUAUGAAAAUAUCUCCCCCUCCACCCCCACAUCACAGAGCAAUACUUUCUUAUUUCUAAGAGGAAAAAAUCAGUAAUAUAUUAGCAACAAAAAAAUAUGAAACAUGAGAGUUUAUGGAAGCACAUUAAAAAACAAGUAAGAAUCAAGUGAAACUUCAUUUUGUUUGAGGACAGUGUGAAUAAUGUCUUUACUUUCUCUAAUGAGCGAAUUUGUUUUCCAAAACCAUAGAAAUAUAAAUAACUUCUGAUUCAUUUCCUGGCAAGAGCUAACUGUAUUACUGUAGAUUAUUAUUAUUUUUUCUCACUGCUUCUUUUGACACUGAUUACUAUAGAUUAUACCUCUCCAAUUGUAUUACUUCUUUUAAGUGGCUCUGGUUGUAAUUUGUAGGACAGGAGAAAGGAUAUUUAGGAAGUGAAAAUUAAGGUCCACGUACUCUUACAGCAGUAUUCUAAAGAACACCCACUCACGUCACCUAUAAAGGGCAGGAAUAUCCUGCUCACACUUCCUAAGCAGAAAGCUUGCAUUUUAUUUUAAAUUACAGUAGUCCCCCUUUAUCCACGGUUUUGCUUUCUGCAGUUUCAGUUAUCCAUGGACCAUCAUGAUCCAAAAAUAUUAAGUGAAAAUUUUUAGAAAUAAACGAUUCAUAAGUUUUAAAUUGUGUGCUGAUCGGAGUAGCUUGAUGAAAUCUUAUUUGGGUGCUUCAACACGCUUUGUGCAGUGCAUCCGCACUGUCUAUGCUACCCAUCCGUUAGCCACUAAGAGUCAUCUCAGUUAUCACAUGGACUGUUGUAGUGUUCAAGUAGCCCUUAUUUUACUUAAUGAUAGCCCCAAAGUGCAAGAGUACUAUGUCUAAUGUAUAAAUUAAACUUUAUUAUAGGUAUAUAGUAUAGAAAAAAAACACUGUACACAGGAUUCAGUACUAUCUGCAGUUUCAGGCAUCCACUGGUGAUCUUAGAACACAUCUUCUGCAGAUAAGCCGGGCUCUUGUACUCCUUCACCUUCUUCCUGUUAAUUUAUAGUAAAUGGAAUAGCAGUAUUGAACUGUAUCAAAGGCCAGUGAGCCCUAUCUGACAUGUCCGGAAGGUAUUGCUGGAUCAGGUUGAAGACUGACCAAAGGAAGUCACCCAAAGAGAAAGGCAGUAUCAGAGAGCCUUCUCGUCUUCCCAAAUCACCUUUUCCUUAAAGUGGGGGAACAGUUGAUUUGACUCAAGAAAUUCCUGAGAGUCUAGUGUCACUGGGCUUGUGUGGAAUGUGGCUCCUUCCUUUUUCUGUGUUUCCCAAGGAUUGACUAUGCACAGCUGCGCUGGGCUCACCUUUCAGACGAAGUCCUCAUGAGGUAAGGAAAUGAGGUCAGGCCAAGUCACUUCACUGUGCUCUUUGUUCAGCUCCCUUUCCUCUCAUGACAUAUGUUAAUUCAGGUUCCACAGUCACUGUGGUCUCAGGAUUGGCACAGGAAGCAUUUUUAUUAGGGUCCAUGCUGUAUUUUCCAUCUGCUUCAUCAAGGAUCCCUGUGAUGAUGCUGAUGAGUCUCUCUGAAAUUCUUUCUGUUCUUUUUCUACUUCAUUGCACAGAACCCUUGAGGUAAGUAGGAAUGCACCUUGAAAAUGACCAUAACUACAUAUGUUAGCAUAGAAGUGGUAUUGUAAUUGGAGAUAAUUCCUUUACCAGAGAUCAGUUUGCAUUGUUUUACAUACUUGGUUAUGGGUGACUUUUCUGCUGAUGUAAGUGAACUUAUGCUAAAAUGAAUGAAAUAUAGGUUUUUGAAAAUCAGUUCCUUAAUCACACAGAAACACUUUCAGCCUUAGAGCUAUUUAGUGAAUAAUGAAAUUAAGUAGGUAAUAGUGUAAUUAAUUCUAAUAUAGUUAUUUGUUUACUUCCAAGUGCCAAUAUACAACUGACUAUAAUAAACUGUGGUACCUCUGGGAUGUCAACAAAUAUUAAAGUAGACAAUUCCAAGAAUGUGAAAUAUGUGUUCGAAUUUGCAUAUCUACUUAUAACUUGUAUUAAAUUGAUAUAAAGAUAAAUGUUAUAUAAUUCUGGAUUUUUAAGUGGUUUUAAUAUUGUAGAUUUAUAGUGAAAAAGGCUAGGAAUCUCAAGCUGUAAAUACCUCCCAAGUCCGCUCAAUUUGUGCAAGCAUAUAAUGAUUUUAAGAUAUAAUUUGAAAAAUAAGUCAUUCCUAAUAAAUGUUCAAAAGAUUGACUAUAUUUUGACCAAACAUUCUCUAUCUGUUAGCAAUCUAAAAACCUUGAGUUGUUUUAUAAUUAUUUGUUUGUAUGUCUAGUGGUGUUUAUUUUUUUCUUUUCCAUAGUUAUUAAAUACUAGGUUUCAAUUAAAUUUAUUUAGCUCGGACUGAAUAAAUAUUACAAAUUAAUUAAUGGUCUUAUGUGAAAGAACUUUGUCUUAAUUCCCUACCUUGUUUGAGUGAUUUUCUAACUUCUAAUUCUUCUUUAAUUUUAUACACACUUUGCAUUAAUUUUAUUAGUACAGUAUUCUAAGUACAUUAAUCUUCUCUGUCCUAAUUAGAUUGUCAAAAAUGCAUUAGUAUUAGUUCAUUUAUAACACCCAUUUAACAUUUACAUAUCACAAAAAAAAAUCAAAAAAUUAUGGGUACAUGACAAAGACUAAGGGAUGGGAGAAGUUAGUUAUACAAGACAACUAAGCCAAAAAAAAAAAAAAAAAAACGUUAAUAGAAUUGAAAGCAAAACUUGUCCUGGAGCCUUUUGACUUCCAGUGCAACAAGGGAUACGUGACUUGCAUUUGACUUGCUCUUAUUAGGUAAUAAAAUGGAAUAUACUGGUUCAAAAGGUAAGAAAGUGUUACUUUGAUAUAGAUUUCUGAAAGGGAUUUAUUGCAUGAGUUUGUUUUUUCUUCUAUAAGUGUAUCCCUCAUAUAUAUUGAGCAUUUGCAACAGCAUAGUGAAAUGUUGAAGCACAUUUAUAAAAAGGGAUUUCUGAGAUUAGUUAAGGAAACUUGGGAAUUAUGCCUGAUUCCUUCCUGUGCUUCCAUGCUCCACAUCACUUAACCAAAUAGUCUUCCAAAAAUGUCCCAAAUCACCAUUUUACGUCAUCAUCUUUCACAUUUCACAUCUGUGACACCAUCUUUCACAUUUCACAGUGUUGCAUCAUCUUUCAAAUUGUCAUUGUCUGUGUCACAUAUAAGAGGCUCCUAAGUGUUUUCUCUCUUCCGUUUGUUCCUCUCCAACUUAUUCUUCACAUUGCAAUCAGAGUGAGUUAUCUUAAAAUCCAAAUCUGAAAAUUGCUUCCCUUAUACCUCGUUCAUUACUUAUUGCACUUAGCACAAAUUUAAACUUAUUAAGCUAACCUACAAAAGACUUUCUGCCUUUCAAAAAAUAAAUUGUCAAAUAAUGAUCGUAUACAUUUACAGGGUAGAAUGUGAAGUUCUGAUAUAUGUGUGCCUCGUGGAAUUAUCAUAUCAAGAACAUAUUGAUGCUCUGAAAGAUAACCCCAGAAGAGUAUGAGGAGACAUACACAGUCUACACAGGCCUGUAAGCAACAAGAACAACAGAAAACGGGAUACAUGUGCAGAACAUGCAGGUUAGUUAUAUAGGUAUAUGUGUGCCAUGGUGGUUUGCUGCACCUAUUGACUCAUCCUCUGAGUUCCCUCCCCUCGCCUCGUACCCCUCAACAGACCCUGGUGUGUGUUGUUCCUCUCUCUGUGUCCAUGUUUUCUCAUUGUUAAGCUCCCACUUAUGAGUGAGAACAUGAGGUAUUUAGUUUUCUGUUUCUGUGUUAGUUUGUGAGGAUGAUGGUUUCCUGUUUCGUGCAUGUCCCAGCAGAGGACAUUAUCUCAUUCCCUUUUAUGGUUGCAUAGUAUUGAAUGGUCUAUAUGUACCAUAUUUUCUUUAUCCAGUCUAUCAUUGAUGGGCAUUUGGGUUGGUUCCAUGUCUUUGCUAUUGUAAAUAGUGCUGCAAUAAACAUAUGUGUGCAUGUGUCUUUAUAGUAGAAUGAUUUAUAUUCCUUUGGGUAUAUGCCCAGUAAUGGGAUUGCUGGGUAAAGUGGUAUUUCUGGUUCUAGAUCCUUGAGGAAUUGCCAUACGGUCUUCCACAGUGGUUGAACUAAUUUACAUUCCCAUCAACAGGGUAAAAGCGUUCCUAUUUCUUCACAGCCUCGUCAGCAUCUAUUGUUUCCUGACUUUACUAAUCGCCAUUCUAACUGGUGUGAGAUGAUAUCUCGUUGUGGCAAAACUCCUGAUUUUUAACCCUCUUUUAUUUUGGCUAUAAACCAAGACUCUGACUUCAUCUAGGUAAGGGCCAACUUUCUGAACAGGAAGAAAGAAAAUAAUACUUUUUAAUUAGGACAAGCAUGAAGACAGGAAUCUAGCCUCCCUGGACAGCAGAUGUCUUUCUUCUUUCUGCUCCAGGGCCUUGUCCCAAGAACCUACGUAGCUAUGAUGGAAAAGAUUAAGUAACAAACCACACAAGGGCUGAAAGCUGCUGGAGAAGUGCUCUGGUCACCUGUCCUUAGGCAGUAAUUCUGGAAGGUAUUUUGUAUGCUUUCAUUAGUUCUAGCUAAACUGAAGCCCUCUGGAGGUUCAUUAUGACAGUGUUGAUAGUGUGCUUUUGUUUUAAAUCACCAUUCAUGUGGUUUGACAUACAUAGAAAUAUUCACCGAUUUUAUGUAUAUGUUUAGAUGAUUUGUGAUAUAUAUAUCAUCAGUUAAAUAUCAUCAGAAUCAAAGAUGUGGGAAAUUACCAUCACCCCUUAGUUUCUGCACGUCCCAUUAGUCAAUGUCCUACUCCCAUCUCUUGCAAUAAUUGAUGACCUUUCUUCACUAUAGUUUUACUUUUUCUAGAAUUUUGUAUAAGUGGAAUUAUACAAUGCAAUGUCUCAUGUGUCAGGCUUCUUUCACAAAAAGAUAUUGAUAUUGUGCGUAUCAAUAUUCCCUUCCUUUUCAUUGCUAAGCAGUAUUACAUUGUAUGGAUGUGUCAUUUUUUUUUUUUUGCUUAUUCAUGUGUGAUAGACCAGUUGUGGUAUGCCCACACCACUUUCUAGUUCUAUGAACAUUCACAUGCAUUAGGGAGCAUAUGUGUGUUCAUUUUUCUUGGGUAAAUGUCUAAAAGUGGUAUUGGUAAAUCAUUUGACAAGUAUAUGUUUAACUAUCCAAGGAAUUAACAAAAUAGUUUCCAAAGUGAGUGUGCCAUUUUGCAUUCCCACCAGAAGUCAUCCUUAUCAAUGUUUGCCUUGACCAGUCUUUUUAAUUUUAAUCAUUCUGUAGCAUGUGUAGUGGUGUCUCACUGAGGUUUCAACUUGUAUUUCAACUAAUGAAGUUGAUCAGGGUUUUGUGUGAUUUUUUUUUUUUUUUGCCAUUUAUAUAUCUUUCUUGGUUAUCUCUGCUUCUUUCUGUCUCCAGUUCUUUCUUAAAUUAUUUGUCAUGUUAAUGAGUUAGAAAGAAGUCUUUAUUCUGGAUUAGAGCUUUUUAACAGAUAAUUACAUAUAUUUUCUCUGAUAUAUCUUUUGCUUUUUCAUGUUUAGAAUCUUUCAAAAGCAGGAGCUUUAAAUUUUGAUGGAGUGUAAUUUAUAAUUUUUUUCUUUUAUGAUUAAUGCUUUUUAACUUUCUAACUUAAUGCUUUUUUUGCCUAAUAAAUCUUUGCCUAAGCUGAGGACAAUUCUCUUCUCCUGUGUUUUCUUAUGGAAGAUUUAUAGUUUUAGGUUUUCUGAACAGACCUAUGAUCCCUUUCAAGUUAAUUUUUUGCAUAUCACUGCUUCCAUCCUGUUCCGUUGUUCUAUAUGUAUAGCCUUAUGUCAAUACUGUGCUGGCUGAUAUCAUUGCACAUAUUUUGUUGCAUAUUUUAAGUAUUUCAUGUUUUUUCAUGUGAUUAUGUUGUAAUUUUAAUUUAAAUUGCCAUUUGUUUAUUAUCACUAUAUAGAAUUACAAUAGAUUUUUGUAUAUUGCUGUUAUGCCCUGUUGCUCUGCUAAACUAACUUAAUAGUUUCAAUUGGUUUCUUUAAGCAGAUUAUUUAAUGUAUUCUACUAAGAAGAGAGCAUAUUCAUUCUAUACAGACACUUUUACAUCUUCCUUUUUAAUUUUUAUGCCUAUUAUUGCUUUCUCUUCUUUACUGCACAGCCUUAGACCUCAAGUAGUCCAUGAUCAUGAAAUGCAAUGGUUGUAAUACAUAAUGCAUUAUCCUGAAGCAGCUGGCCCCACAGAGCUCUGACACAGCCUUCUAAAAGCACAGUUAAAAUGCCAGUUUAGAGGCAACACUCUGAAAGAAUGGGUGUUAUCCUUCUGGGUGCAUUACAUGCAUUAAAUUAAAGAUUUAUAUGGUUCAUUGUCCUCAAUAAAAAAGGAUGCCAAGGAAUGAAAAGUGAUAUACAAUCAGUCUCUAAGACUGAGAUGGUUUGUGUUAUGCAUUCCCACAACUCCGAUUUCCAUUGAACUGAAGGUCGUGGUUCCCAGUGUGGCACACUCUUGCCAGAGUCAAAUAAAGAAUUCCACUGGGCCACAAGUUAUGGCAACUGCCAGGGCUCUUUGGACUUUUUGUGACCAGGAACCAGCAGGUGAGAAGAGGAGUCACCAUAAAUCAGAGAAAGCAGCAGGUGAGAAGAGGAGUCACCAUAAAUCAGAGGCAAUUGACUCUGGUAGACAAGAAGACGUAACACUGCUUCCAAUCGGUGAGCGCAGGGGGCUGUAGAUGUGCUGAACCCAGGUGAUGUACUAGAUGGCUCUGGGUACUAAAUACAUAUAGCAAUACUGGCCUGAUAAGAGUGUGAUUUCCAGGGCUCAGAUACUGCAGAGAUAAUGGUUUGGGUCACACCAGAUAAGACAGUAAGACCUGCCAAGGUGAGAGCGAGGAUAAGACUUUAAAAUGGAUAAUGGAGGAGAAAUAGAAGGAGUAGCAGUGUGGCCCUGAGCAUAAAUUUUCAAACAGGUCAGCAGUUAGUUCCACCAACUUUCCUCUUCUACAUUUUCCCUCAGAGAGAGAGGGAGAGGCACUUGCACCACACAGGAGUAUUGCUAGAACCUGCAGAAAGAAGGUUUGUGGGGUGGAGUGGGAAGUGGGGGCUGUAAUCUCUUGCUGAGAAGGUGCAACUGACUGCAGGCCCCUGCUGCUGUCUCACAUUUUCCCUGAGGCAAUGCUGGUCACUGCUGUGUCUACCCGUGAUGGAGCACACCAGCUGUGCUAAUGCAGGCCUGUUCCCAUGAGAUGGGGGACUCCUUAGUGGAUUACUUUGGUUUCAGGAUUCCCCAUCAACUCUUCUGAGUCUUUUCCAUAUGGUGCUGCAGUGGUCUGACAUUCUUCCUACCCAAUUCACUUUCCUUCCCCUUUCCUUUCCUUCACAGGUGUCAGACCAGCGUUGUGGUCUAAAGAUCGCCCUGCUUUCUUUGGCUCUAUUUUUUUUCACAGUUGUUUCCCCAAUAAAUCUCUUGCAUGUCUAAUCUCAUUUUAGCAUUUGCUUUUUGGAAGGCCCAAACUAUCAUAUAAGUCAAUAUAAAAUGAGCGAUUAUUUUAGACUUUGAGUUAGCAUUUUCACAAAGGAAGAUACACAAAUGGCCAAAAAAAAAGCAUGUGAGUUAUCAGAAAAUGUAAAUUAAAGUCAUAGUUACAUGUCAUUUAACACCCACUAGGACUAAAAUUAGAAAUAUUGACAACAGUAAAUGUGUGAAAAGUUACAAAUAGAACUCUCAAUGAUUGCUGGUGAUUGUAUAAAAGAUUACUAAAACUCUGGAAGUGCUUUAGCAAUUUCUUACACAGUCAAUUAUACACAUACUUUUUGAGGUAAGAACUGCACUUCUAUUAAUAUAAAUGCAUUAAAUGAAAGUUUAUGUCUAAAGAUGGAUUUCUACAAGAAUAUUCACGGAAGCUUUAUUUGUAAUAGCCAAAAUUUGGUAGCAGCCCAAAUGUCCAUCAAAAGAAUGGAUAAAAAUAUUUUGUAGAUUUUAACAAUAGAAUAAUACUAAUCAAUAAGAUGAAAUGUAAUACUGAAUCAGAAAACAACAUUCGUCUGUCUCAAAAUCACUGAACUAGAUACAAAACUUACUAUAUGAUUUUCUUUAUACACAAUUCUAAAAAAAUACAAUUAGUCUAUAGCAACAGAGAAGAGAUUAGUAGUUAUCUAGGAUGGAUCAGGGUGAUGGAGGCACAGAGGUCCUGCAAAGAAGUGGGAGGAGGCUUUGCGGGCAAAGAAAAUGUUCUGUAGCUUGAUUAUAGCAGUGCCUUCCCCAGUGCAUCAAGUGUUAAAAUUAAUUGAAUUGCCAAUUAAGAGAACUCAAUUUACUGGACAUAAAUUAUACCUCAAUUAAAUUGCUAAAAAUAUUUCCACACAUGUAGAUUCAUCAAACAUAUUGAAAAUAAACUAAAUGUUCUAAUUUGAUGGAAUGCAAUCCCCACUGUUUGGAAGCUAUGUGUCCACAAAUAAAAACUCAGAGAUAAAGAUUGUGUAAAAAAAUUAAGUAUUAAAACAUAUGCAGUACACGGGAAAAAACUUUCUAAUAUUACUGACAUUUUUAUGGUUGCAUAGCUCAUAAAACUAUGAUCUGUGUUUUUGUAAAGUGCAAAGGGUUUGUGAUGUUUUGUAUUAGGUUAGAAUCACAAUUUCAAACAUUUGUCACGUUCUUCUUUUUCUUGUAUCAUGUGAUUUUCGUAUAAAUGCAUUUCUUGCAUAUGUACUUGAAUUUAUUAUGAGUAAACUUGAAAAAUUACAUCACUAGUAAAUUAUUGAAAGUGCUGAGAACAAAGUUGUUCUAUAUUCAGUAAAUUUUUUAAAACACAUCAUUAAAACUUGUCUAAAAUACAUUUCUGGAGAUAAUUCUGAUUAUUAUGCUCAUAAGUAAUGAUUCCGUGGUUUAAAAUGAAAUACUAUUAACAUUUUAAAUGGUAUAUUAAAACAGUAUUUCAUCUACUGAGUUUCCAUAAUUCUUAAUAAGUGCUACAGUAUUGAAAUACAUUUUAGUUUGUAUUGAGAAGCGCAUUAUAUCUAACGUUUCAAUAGCACAGUGUUUGCU
Molecule: long non-coding RNA, 9575 nt
Organism: Pan troglodytes (chimpanzee)
Lineage: Eukaryota; Metazoa; Chordata; Mammalia; Primates; Hominidae
Exons: 3
Source: RefSeq, a predicted model, not a curated record